RNAcentral lists this ribosomal RNA (402 nucleotides) under Verrucomicrobiota bacterium. RNAcentral's name for it is "Verrucomicrobia bacterium partial 16S ribosomal RNA". It matches the Rfam family "Bacterial small subunit ribosomal RNA", at positions 355 to 776 of the family's 1533-position model. Lineage: Bacteria; Pseudomonadati; Verrucomicrobiota. The record is from RNAcentral.
UGGGGAAUUUUGCACAAUGGGGGAAACCCUGAUGCAGCGACGCCGCGUGAUUUAGAAGGCCUUCGGGUUGUAAAAAUCUUUUGUAUGGGAAGAAAAUGACAGUACCAUACGAAUAAGGACCGGCUAAUUACGUGCCAGCAGCCGCGGUAAUACGUAAGGUCCGAGCGUUGUCCGGAAUCAUUGGGCGUAAAGGGUACGUAGGCGGAUAAGCAAGUUAGAAGUGAAAUCCUAUAGCUCAACUAUAGUAAGCUUUUAAAACUGCUCAUCUUGAGGUAUGGAAGGGAAAGUGGAAUUCCUAGUGUAGCAGUGGAAUGCGCAGAUAUUAGGAGGAAUACCGGUGGCGAAGGCGACUUUCUGGCCAUAUACUGACGCUGAGGUACGAAAGAGUGGGUAGCAAACAGG